UUUCCGGUUGAUCCUGCCGGACCCUACUGCUAUCGGGAUAAGACUAAGCCAUGCGAGUUGAGCGUUCCCUAGCUAUGUUGGGAGAGCAGCGAACGGCUCAGUAACACGUAGUUAACCUACCCUCAGGACGGGAAUACCCCCGGGAAACUGGGACUAAUGCCCGAUAAGUGGAAGCGCCUGGAACGGUCUUUCACUAAAAGAGCAUCGGAGACAUGCUUCCGAUGUUGCCUGAGGAUGGGACUGCGGCCGAUCAGGUUGUUGGUGGGGUAACGGCCUACCAAGCCUAUAACCGGUACGGGCCCUGAGAGGGGGAGCCCGGAGAUGGGAACUGAGACAAGGUCCCAGGCCCUACGGGGCGCAGCAGGCGCGAAAACUCCACAAUGCACGAAAGUGUGAUGGGGUUAUCCCGAGUGCCGUUCGAUGAGGAUGGCUUUUCCCCGGUUUAAUACGCCGGGGGAAUAAAGGGGGGGCAAGACUGGUGUCAGCCGCCGCGGUAAUACCAGCUCCCUGAGUGGUAGGGAUGAUUAUUUGGCCUAAAGCGUCCGUAGCCUGCUUGGUAAGUCUUUCGUUAAAUCCAGCGAUUCAAUCAUUGGCCUGCGAAAGAUACUGCUAGGCUUGAGGACGGGAGAGGUCGACGGUAGUCCCAGGGUAGGGGUGAAAUCCUAUAAUCCUGGGAGGACCACCAGUGGCGAAGGCGGUCGACUAGAACGUGCCUGACGGUGAUGGACGAAAGCUGGGGGAGCGAACCGGAUUAGACACCCGGGUAGUCCCAGCUGUAAACGAUGCGAGCUAGGUGUUAGAGCAGCUACGAGCUACUCUAGUGCCGCAGAGAAAUCGUUAAGCUCGCCGCCUGGGGAGUACGAUCGCAAGAUUGAACUUAAAGGAGUUGGCGGGGGAGCACCACAAGGGGUGAAGCCUGCGGUUCAUUGGAGUCACGCCGGA
This 942-nucleotide ribosomal RNA is filed under the name uncultured archaeon. RNAcentral's name for it is "bacterial SSU rRNA". It matches the Rfam family "Archaeal small subunit ribosomal RNA", at positions 1 to 922 of the family's 1478-position model. The record is from RNAcentral.